AGUGAACGCUGGCGGUAGGCCUAACACAUGCAAGUCGAACGGCAGCACAGUAAGAGCUUGCUCUUACGGGUGGCGAGUGGCGGACGGGUGAGGAAUACAUCGGAAUCUACUUUUUCGUGGGGGAUAACGUAGGGAAACUUACGCAAUACCGCAUACGACCUACGGGUGAAAGCAGGGGAUCUUCGGACCUUGCGCGAUUGAAUGAGCCGAUGUCGGAUUAGCUAGUUGGCGGGGUAAAGGCCCACCAAGGCGACGAUCCGUAGCUGGUCUGAGAGGAUGAUCAGCCACACUGGAACUGAGACACGGUCCAGACUCCUACGGGAGGCAGCAGUGGGGAAUAUUGGACAAUGGGCGCAAGCCUGAUCCAGCCAUACCGCGUGGGUGAAGAAGGCCUUCGGGUUGUAAAGCCCUUUUGUUGGGAAAGAAAAGCAGCAGGUUAAUACCCCGCUGUUCUGACGGUACCCAAAGAAUAAGCACCGGCUAACUUCGUG
This 491-nucleotide ribosomal RNA is filed under the name uncultured bacterium. RNAcentral describes it as "partial 16S ribosomal RNA". It matches the Rfam family "Bacterial small subunit ribosomal RNA", at positions 29 to 507 of the family's 1533-position model. The record is from RNAcentral.